UACAGAGGGUGCAAGCGUUGUUCGGAAUUAUUGGGCGUAAAGGGCGCGUAGGCGGUGCGGUAAGUCUGUAGUGAAAUCUCUGGGCUCAACUCAGAGUCUGCUGCAGAAACUGCCGUGCUUGAGUGUGGGAGAGGUGAGUGGAAUUCCCGGUGUAGUGGUGAAAUGCGUAGAGAUCGGGAGGAACACCUGUGGCGAAGGCGGCCCCCUGGGCCGGCCCUGACACUGAGACGCGAAAGCUAGGGGAGCAAACAGG
This 253-nucleotide ribosomal RNA is filed under the name uncultured bacterium. Its description in RNAcentral is "partial 16S ribosomal RNA". It matches the Rfam family "Bacterial small subunit ribosomal RNA", at positions 524 to 776 of the family's 1533-position model. The record is from RNAcentral.